This 208-nucleotide ribosomal RNA is filed under the name uncultured bacterium. Its description in RNAcentral is "partial 16S ribosomal RNA". It matches the Rfam family "Bacterial small subunit ribosomal RNA", at positions 568 to 774 of the family's 1533-position model. The record is from RNAcentral.
CGCGUAGGCGGAUUGUACAGUCAGAUGUGAAAUUCCCGGGCUCAACCUGGGGGGCUGCAUUUGAUACGUAUGAUCUUGAGUGAGGAAGAGGGUCGUGGAAUUCCCAGUGUAGAGGUGAAAUUCGUAGAUAUUGGGAAGAACACCGGUGGCGAAGGCGGCGACCUGGUCCUUUACUGACGCUGAGGCGCGAAAGCGUGGGGAGCAAACA